This 333-nucleotide ribosomal RNA is filed under the name Triticum aestivum (bread wheat). Its description in RNAcentral is "partial small subunit ribosomal RNA". The record is from RNAcentral. Lineage: Eukaryota; Viridiplantae; Streptophyta; Magnoliopsida; Poales; Poaceae.
AUGACGCCGCUGUGCCCGCGGUCCAAUGAUCCACCUAUGUUUGUGUCGGAUCUUAUCCAUGCUGCAACCAGGCCGUGGAAUAUGGAGGUGGUCAGAGAACAUAUGUAUGAGAUGGACGCCGAAGCAGUAGCGAACAUUCCCAUCAGUCAUGUUGCCCAGCCGGAAAGAAUGGAAGAGGAUUUUUCGUAUCACAUUCGUACUGACUUAACAGGAUCCGUCUCCCAUAGUAAUAUUAUGACAGUCUCUCUUGCCCCUUCGUACUUACUUGAAACAGGAAUUUCUUGGUGCUCAACUGCUUAUUCUGCUUUUCCUGGUACCGGUAUAGAUAGAUAG